UCACGUACAGGUGGUAGAAAAAAAAAUCCAUCUUCUUCCUCCUGGUUCGUACGCUGUGCCGCCUAUGGUCCUCCGCCCGUCAAUCCUCCUCACCUGCGCCGCCACUCUUCCUCCGCCUUCGCUUCCUACUCCCACUCCCUGGUCAGCGGUGAUGCCAAGUUUGAUUUCCUUGCAGGCCGUCGAGUGGGUUCCCUCAACACGAGUCUAUCAUCGGAAUCGGAAGAAUGGUUACCAGGCCCAUCAUCGGAAUCACAAGAACGGUUCUCCUUCCCGUUCGAGUACAGGCCCAUGACCGGAAUCUGAAGAACGGUUCUCCUUCAAGACGUGUUAACUGUCUCUGACGGCGUCGUAAUGAUGGCUUCAUGGUGGGAUUGUCAUCUUCGUUUCUUCCAGAUUAUUAUUCACGGAUUUCUCAGAGCAACUGUGUGACCUUCAUUAUUUGACAAUGGCUGUUGGACAGGUACACUUGUAGCACUGUUUUUACAUUAUUUAUUAUUUAUUUCUCAAAUUAAAUUAGCUUCAUACUAUUUAGUUUUUUAGUUUUAGCAAAUAUUUACAUCUACUGGAUCUUUAUAUGUACCCGACCUACCUUUUCCUCUAUGUGAUUCGUAAACAUGUAUAUCAUGAUUAAAUGAACAUCAGGGAUUUGUAUUUACAAACUGCUCAGAGGGAUUGUAUAACCUAUUGACCUUCAUCUGCAAACAUGGUUAAUGGACAGGUACAUCCGUUUAUGCAAUUGUGGCCCUUCUAACUCAUAUGUUGCUUAAUCUGUUGUUUCCUUCAAAUUUGUUCUGCAGUGGGUGGAACUUGUUCAAUUUCUUAUCAUUUGCCCGCUGCCUUUCCUUUUCCCAUGACAUGUAUUAAUCUGCUGCCUUUCCUUUUCAGUAUUUCAUAACCAUUGUAUAUCACGGGAUAUACGUCAGUAGUACUAAUGUUUGUUGCACGUUCCAUGCUGAUAUUACUAAUAAUUAACACAUGCUAAUUACAGGCUGAUUUUGUUUAUCUGUCGGAUCUGAAUCCAAGCAAAAGUUGUGUGGCACAGUAUGUGGACGCAUGGCUCAUGUAUUUGUGUCAGCCUAUUUUAUGUUUUCCCACGGUUUAUCUUUGAGUUAUGUCAAGUAUUUCUCAACGUAAUUGCUUAUAGUGACACCCCAUUAGUACAGAAGGUAUCCUGAUGUCUUUUCUGAAUGAGCCACGUACACCUUCUGUAGAAAAGAACAAUUUGGAUUAAUAUCUCUCAAAUUGAGAAAAUCGUAUGGUUGGAGGAUUUCAAUCAUUACAGGUUUAGUACAUGGAACUGCAUAGGGACAAUCAUCUUAGAAAAUUGGAUAACUGCAAACCCAUCAGUCCAGUCCGUAUAAUGUGUUUUAUUUCACACUACAAAGUGAUCUAAACCCCAAGUUAAUAAAAAGAGUUCCAUCAUUCAUCCAGUAUAUAUCCUUGCCUUGAGCAUUAAAGUAAGUUAAUCCAAUGUUAUCCUUGCCUUCAACACUAAAGUUAGUAUAUAUAAUUAAAGUAAAUACGAACUGUCUUCUCUUACCUCUGGAAUAAUAUGCACUAUUGAUUCUGAUACUAUGCAAAGUAUGUGUGUUGCUGAAAUUAUCGUUGCUGGUAAAGCCUGUCGUAUAACUGUGUGCACUUCACUUUUUUUGGCCAGACUUAAAUUUUCUUCUAAAAGAUAUCUGUUAUUCUUCACAUACAUCUAUGCAUGUGCUUACAUACUCAAAUCAAUAGAGCUAUGUGUUCAUUACUAAAACUUUAUGCAGGGGAACAAAAUGUAUGCAGAGGUAUGAAUGGAUCAUGCAGACAAGUUCAGAUCCCAGCUUCAGGGAGGAAGGUUAUGCCUUGUUCGAGAUUUCUUUGUGCAAUCAGCAAAAAACAUAUUUAGUGUUGUGUAUGUAAGGUUUAUGCUGAUCAGGUCCAGCCUAAGGUACUGGAAUAUUUCCCAAGAUAUACUUAUUCUAUAACUGGAUUUCAGCAGGAACAGUGUUUGGUUGCGAGUCGCAGUACGAGUGAGAUUCAAAUUUACUUUCCUAUGACUUUCUCAGCUAUAUUUGCAAAGAAGAUAAAAAUUUUAGUGUUAACGAAAAAGGAGUACAUUAUGAUGACCUAUCUUUCUAGGUGCAAUUUCUUAUACUGGUGUGAUAUUGAUUUCAUGAGUCUUAAUCUCGUUAAAAUUUGAAAUCUCCAUUCUCCAAUAAGAUUUCUUACUCAAACUAAGCAGCUCAUGUUAGAAGGACGUCCACCGGGUGUUACUAGCAACAACAAUUUGACUGAAUCUGAAGAUGGCCAGUACUCCAACUCCAUUGGAACUAAAGAAAUGAAAUUGCACUCCCUUCCUACCACAGCAGAGGUGCCUCCUCCUCUAUCCAUGCAAGGUCCCUGGUUGAACAGUCCCCAAAAGUCUGUGAAGACGUUGUGUCUCCAAAGAAAGAAGAAUGGAACGACAAGUUCAAUUGCUACCACCUUUUGAGUGGCAUUAUUUUGUUUAAGUUCGCAUAUUUUUUCAUGUACCAAUUUGGCAAUUUACAUUGUUACUAUAGUGCAGCAACAGACCGACCAUCUAGCCAAAAGAAACUGCUCAUGAGUGCCUCAUGAGACAUUGCUUCAUGAAGUUCUUGUUUUACUAGGAUGGGAAGAACCUAUCAUGCGCCUUCAUCUACCAAUAAUUACGUUUUCCCUAGAUUAGCAAAUUUAUAUUGUCAUGUAUCGUGCAGUUAUGCAUGCCUAAUGCCUACAUACACCGUACACAAACUGUAUAUUUGAGAGUUUGAUUAAAUAUCA
Long non-coding RNA from Lolium perenne, 2784 nucleotides. RefSeq lists it as uncharacterized. The record is from RefSeq and is a predicted model, not a curated record. NCBI's taxonomy places the organism in Eukaryota, Viridiplantae, Streptophyta, Magnoliopsida, Poales, Poaceae.